RNAcentral lists this ribosomal RNA (200 nucleotides) under uncultured bacterium. RNAcentral describes it as "partial 16S ribosomal RNA". It matches the Rfam family "Bacterial small subunit ribosomal RNA", at positions 8 to 210 of the family's 1533-position model. The record is from RNAcentral.
AGAGUUUGAUCAUGGCUCAGGACGAACGCUGGCGGCGUGCUUAACACAUGCAAGUCGAGCGGAAAGGCCCUUCGGGGUACUCGAGCGGCGAACGGGUGAGUAACACGUGAGUAAUCUGCCCCUUGCUUCGGGAUAGCUCCGGGAAACCGGAAUUAAUACCGGGUAUGACUGCGGCCGGCAUCGGCUGUGGUGGAAAGUUU